GACGAACGCUGGCGGCGUGCUUAACACAUGCAAGUCGAACGCUGAACCCGCUUCGGUGGGGGAUGAGUGGCGAACGGGUGAGUAACACGUGGGUAACCUGCCCCCGGCUCUGGGAUAACUCCAAGAAAUUGGGGCUAAUACCGGAUGUGACCGCUGGCCGCAUGGUCUGGUGGUGGAAAGGGUUUCUGGUGGGGGAUGUG
RNAcentral lists this ribosomal RNA (200 nucleotides) under uncultured bacterium. RNAcentral describes it as "partial 16S ribosomal RNA". It matches the Rfam family "Bacterial small subunit ribosomal RNA", at positions 28 to 229 of the family's 1533-position model. The record is from RNAcentral.